RNAcentral lists this long non-coding RNA (1200 nucleotides) under Anas platyrhynchos platyrhynchos (common mallard). RNAcentral's name for it is "lncRNA (ENSAPLG00000022907.1)". Lineage: Eukaryota; Metazoa; Chordata; Aves; Anseriformes; Anatidae. The record is from RNAcentral.
AUGAGUACUGCCGGCGGCCGCGCAUGCGUAGUGGCACGCGCUGGCGCCCUCCGCCGCCACCUGCUGGUGGAAAAUGAGUACUGCAGGCGGCCGGCGGACGCGCAUGCGCGGUGGCGCCCGAGGGCGCCCUCUGCCGCCACCGCCUGGUGGGAAGGAAGUACUGCAGGCGGCCGGGGGCAGCGCAUGCGCAGUGACGCCUGCGGGCGCCCUCUGCCGCCACCUGCUGGUGGAAAAAGAGUACUGCAGGCGGCCGGCGGCCGCGCAUGCGCGGUGGCGCCCACUGGCGCCCUCUGCCGCCACCUGCUGGCGGAAAAUGAGUACUGCACGUGGCCGGGGGGCGCGCAUGCGCAGUGGCGCCCGCGGGUGCCCUUUGCCGCCACCGCCUGGUGGAACAUGAGUACUGCAGGCGGCCGGCUGCCGAGCACGCGCGGUGGCGCCCGCAUGCACCCUCUACCGCCACCUCCUGCUGCGAAAGGGGUACUGCAGGCGGCCGGGGGCCGCGCAUGCGCGGUGACGCCUGCGGGCGCCAUCUGCCGCCACCUGCUGUCAGAAAAAGAGUACUGCAGGCGGCCGGGAGGCGCGCAUGCGUGGUGGCGCCCGCGGGCGCCCUCUGCCGCCACCUCCUGGUGGGAAGGGAGUACUGCAGGCGGCCGGAAAGCGCGCAUGCGCAGUGACGCCUGCGGGCGCCCUCUGCCGCCACCUGCUGGCAGAAAGCGAGUAUUACAGGCGGCCGGCGGCCGCGCAUGCGCGGUGGCGCCCACUGGCGCCCUCUGCCGCCACCUGCUGGCUAAAAAUGAGUACUGCACGUGGCCGGGGGGCGCGCAUGCGCAGUGGCGCCCGCGGGUGCCCUCUGCCGCCACCGCCUGGUGGGAAAGGGGUACUGCAGGCGGCCGGGGGCCGUGCAUGCGCGGUGGCGCCCGCGGGCGCCCUCUGCCGCCACCUGCUGUCAGAAAAAGAGUACUGCAGGCGGCCGGGAGGCGCGCAUGCGUGGUGACGCCUGCGGGCGCCCUUUGCCGCCACCUGCUGGCAGAAAGAGAGUACUGCAGGCAGUCGGUGCCGCGCAUGCGCGGUGGCGCCCGCGGACGCCCUCUUCCGCCACCUGCUGAUGGGAAAGCGGUACUGCAGGCGGCCGGGGGGCGCGCAUGCGCGGUGGCGCCCGCGGGCGCCCUCUGCCGCCACCUGCUGGUGGGAACGCGGUAG